UACGGAGGGGGCCAGCGUUGUUCGGAAUCAUUGGGCGUAAAGGGCGCGUAGGCGGCCGAUCAAGUCGGGGGUGAAAUCCCUCGGCUCAACUGAGGAAUUGCCUCCGAUACUGUUCGGCUUGAGUCCUGGAGAGGGUAGUGGAAUUCCCAGUGUAGCGGUGAAAUGCGUAGAGACUGGGAAGAACACCAGUGGCGAAGGCGGCUACCUGGACAGGUACUGACGCUGAAGCGCGAAAGCUAGGGGAGCAAACAGG
Molecule: ribosomal RNA, 253 nt
Filed under: uncultured bacterium
Lineage: Bacteria
Description: partial 16S ribosomal RNA
Rfam family: Bacterial small subunit ribosomal RNA
Source: RNAcentral